Molecule: non-coding RNA, 3706 nt
Organism: Cyanistes caeruleus (blue tit)
Lineage: Eukaryota; Metazoa; Chordata; Aves; Passeriformes; Paridae
Source: RefSeq, a predicted model, not a curated record
UGUUUUUUCCCCCACUGAUUGAAUACUUGCAUAGUUUUGUUGAUUGAAUGAAGGACUGCAGCAUCUCAGGAAAGAUGUUGUAACUGAACUCUGGUGUGUCAGGUAUCAGGCCCAAAACGUACUGUGGAGAAAAGGGAAAAGUUUGAUGGUUUGAUGACUACUAUACAGUGUUUCAGUUACUGGAUGGUCUCUUCCUGGAAGAAUAGAUGGAACACAAAUCGAUGGAGUCUGGUAUCACUGAUUUAAGGAGAAGCUGGGGCAGAUGUUGACCUGAGAUCUGGAGCACACCUUCCCAGUGGGGGUACCAGGAUAGAAGACCUCCCAUCAUCACUUUUACUCCUGAGGGACGAGGGGCAGACCUGUACUGUGGUCACAAGUGCAGAAGAAGUUCGUGUAGAUGUUCCUGAGCUUCAGAAAUACACACUCGACCUUCAAGAGUUGCUGCCAAUUUGUCCAGUGUUCACACAGUGUGUAGCACAGGCCUCCUGCUAUGCCUCGUGAGUGCUGCUGCAGUACAGCCACCUUUCCUUUUGUCUGGGCACCUUUAUCAGUACAGCUGAAGGGAACACUGUGUGGACUGUGAAUUCCUCUCCAAGAUCAUGUAAAUUCUUGGACGGUACAUGCUGUUGCACUUAGUAUUAAUCUAACUAGCUAAAGCUGGUUUGCAUACAUCUGCAGCUACAGCAGAAGUUUAAUGAUAAAUAUUCCCAAAUGUAGCCAUGCAAAUAGUGGCAAAUAUUGAAUAAAUGCAUGAAAUGCAUUUAGUAAGUAAAAAAAUCUUCUGUUUUUCCGUCAAGAAAAAAACAAAGGAUGAUUUUUCCUUUAUUGCACAGGCCAGGUUUUCUUAUGAGUAUAAAGGGAUCAUAAAACCUAUGGUAAAUAUUUGAGGAUUAUUUUACUAUGGUCUGUAUUAAGCUACUGAUACCCUUCUAUCCUACCCUCUGGAUCAGGGGGGUAGAGUGGUUGCUCCAUAUUAUGCCCAUACAUAAGUGAUUACUGGUUGGCAAAUAGCCACAAUAACAGAGGACAUUAUGUAAAAAAUUAAUAGACAAAACCACCCAAACAGAUGAACAAACAAACUCACAUGCUCUUCACCACAGUGCAAAAGGUCCUAAAAGCUGGAAUUGCAAAUGGUAGCAAUCCCAGCCAUGUAUAAAUCCCAAAAAGGGAGAGACGUUCUUGGAAAUGGUGCCACCCCUAAAGAGAGAGCAUAGAGGCUACUCUUAUUUGAAGGAUAAGAUCAUCUCCCCUUGGUAGUGGUGUUACUUGUACCUAAAAUAAUUCAUCUUUGACUUAAAAUCCUACAGAAUUCUUCUGCCUGGUCCAAAGGGGACAACUGCUGUUCUCGAGGUCAGCUCUGGAGGGGUUCACCAGGCUCUGUUCCCCUAUAACUGUCUACCUCCAUGAAUGGUUAUGGAAUGAUCUUUUUAUGGCUCCGAGAAGGUGCCAGGAGAGAGGGAGAGGGGCAAUUCUGAGGGCUGGAGUUUGGCUGCAUGAGUCUGCUUCAGCUGCCAUGCCAUCUCCAGGAGAGAGAGAUGAAAAUAAGUACCUACCCAAAGAAAUGGGAGAAAAGAGCAUCCCUGGGCUUAUAACCAAACAGAGUGUAUAUAAUUUACUACACUCCCUCAAAGUGGCAAUGUUUUAUUUCUUACCAUGCCAGACUGGUGCAGCCCAAGCAAACCAAGUGUUUAACUGUGGGUGACUAACUACAGGUGUAAUGAAUUAAAAGACAUGUGGCUAAGCCAAGUGCAAGCUUUUCAAAGUGUGAGCAUCUUCUUAAAAAUGAGGUUUAGCAAAUGAACAAAAUGCUCCCAGAACUGCUGAAUUUGUCUUCUUAGCAUUUUAGUUACUGUUUGACCUGACCAUUUCAAAUAACCACUCAAAAGAAAUGGACAUAUUCAGGAGGGCAGAUACCCUGUAUUUCUAAGGCAAAAUAUUUCUAUAAAAUAACACAGUGAUUGCUUAUAGCUAUCCAAAAAGAUAUUGUGCUGAGCUGUCAUAUUUUGUGUUGCAGCCUUUUCAUACUGUUGAAAUAUCAACACUAUAUGUACUGCAUGUGUAUAGUUAACUCUUGGUUUCCUGGUAUAAGAUGGGUAGGAAACCUGUAUAAUGUAUUAACAUGACCAUAAAUACACCCCCCCCCCCCAAAAAAAAAAUCCAUAAUAAAUAAGGGUAAGGAUAGAUAAUACAGUCUUGAAGAGUAACUAAUAAGCCAAAUUAAUGGCAUGUCCGGAACUAUAUGUGUAUUUUAAAUUAUACUGAUUUUUUUGGUUGAAGCUGGAAAACAGGAAGACAAUGAGACUAAGAGAAAAUGUAAGUUGCAUAAACAUUUGACACUGUAAACUAUAUUUUGUUGAAUACUUGUAGUGAAAAAUAGGGGUUUCUGGAGAUAAUUGGAUGCUUUCUUUAAUAAUAACUGUCCUUACUCUAAAUUUUGAUGAUUAUUUACCAAUUUAUUGUUUAUUUUUUUUUCUAUUCAGAAACAACUAGACUAAUUUCAGCAAGAGAAAAAACCUAGCAUAAAGGACAGGCUAGUAACCAUCAUGGAGGAUAUGAAUAAUCAGAAGUAUUUGCAUUAUACAAAUAUGUUGCUUACAGACACUAAAAAAGGUGUUAACACAACACAUCCUGAAAUACUAUUGAGAAAUUAUUGAGUAUAUUUGUACAUAGUUCUAUGUACAAUUCUCUUCUGUCAUUUAUUCAUUCAUUCAUUCCCAUUUAUUGCAGUUCAUGUAGUGUGUGAUAGGCCUUUGACACAGAUCUAUAACCAUCGAGAUUUGUGACACUGAGAAGAAUACAAUGAGAGCCCCCCAGAUCCCAUCCUCUGAAGCAAAAUAUCCCUGUGAAUCACAGGUAUUGUGUUACCAGACAGCACAGCAAAAAAUUAACCAGAGCAAAACACUCGACUUGAUGCUGUUACAGCUAAUAGGACUGAAAUGAAAGAUAAUUGCAUAUUAAAAUAGAGUGGGUAGCUCUGUUUUGAUAUAGAGAUAUAAAGAUGUCAGGCAAGCUAGGCUGCAGCAGCAGGCGAUGGGUGCCCUGAAGUGAUUGAGGAGUGAAGCCCAAGACAGCAUUCCUCACAUUCCUGUGGCACUCCUCCUAUACAUAUGCCCCACAAAAAAAGGGAAUUCCAGCACUCCGGAUUGGUGAGCUGAGCUUCAGAAAAGCUGGCACUUUUCUAUAGCUGCAGGCUUGAUUAAUUUGAAGGAAUUAUUAUCAUCUCUGGAAGAUGAACACGAGGCAUAUUUAAACUGUUAUUUUUUAGGGCAAAGGACGUGACAUUUCCAAUCUGUUACAAAAAAAAAAAAGAAAAAAGAAAAAAAGAAAAAAGAAUCUCCCAUCAGGAUUUCUAGUAAGCACCAAUAAGCAAGAUGUAGAGAAUGUGGAACACUCCCUAGUAUUUUCCCAAGAUCUGCCCAGAAUAAUUGGUAUAACUGCAAAAAUAUUUUGCUGACACAUAUGAGUGGGAUUAGCCCAAAGAGCUAUCUUUGUUAAUGAGCCAUAUCUAGAAAUUCAGUAGGUUUAGUAGAUUACUAUCUGAAGACACAGCAUUUUUGAGAGCCACUUAUGUCUAAAAGUGUAACAUUUUUUUCUCCUGGGACUAGCAGUGUAUGUUCAGUAAGGAAAUGAUGGUUAUCCCUGGGAAUUUUCACAAAUAAAAAAAAAAAUCAAAUAAAGAUGACAGUACCUUACUUGGAAUUGAAAU